AUUGAACGCUGGCGGCAGGCCUAACACAUGCAAGUCGAACGAGUGGGGGACGGGUGAGUAAUGUCUGGGAAAAUGCCUGAUGGAGGGGGAUAACAAAUGGGAACGGUAGCUAAUACCCCAUACCAUCAUAUGUGCCCAGAUGGGUUUAGCUAGUUGGUGGGGUAACGUCGCACCAAGGCGACGAUCCCUAGCUGGUCUGAGAGGAUGACCAGCCACGCUGGAACUGGGACACGGUCCAGACUCCUACGGGAGGCAGCAGUGGUGAAUAUUGAACAAUGGGCGCAAGGCUGAUGCAGCCAUGCCGCGUGUAUGAAGAAGGCCUUCGGGUUGUAAAGUACUUUCAGCGGGGAGGCGUUACCCGCAGAAGAAGCACCGGCUAACUCCGUGCCAGCCGCCGCGGUAAUAC
This 406-nucleotide ribosomal RNA is filed under the name uncultured bacterium. RNAcentral's name for it is "partial 16S ribosomal RNA". It matches the Rfam family "Bacterial small subunit ribosomal RNA", at positions 30 to 526 of the family's 1533-position model. The record is from RNAcentral.